Molecule: ribosomal RNA, 549 nt
Filed under: uncultured bacterium
Lineage: Bacteria
Description: bacterial SSU rRNA
Rfam family: Bacterial small subunit ribosomal RNA
Source: RNAcentral
CGGCUCACCAAGGCGACGAUGCGUAGCCGACCUGAGAGGGUGGCCGGCCACACUGGGACUGAGACACGGCCCAGACUCCUACGGGAGGCAGCAGUAGGGAAUUUUCGGCAAUGGGGGGAACCCUGUCCGAGCAACGCCGCGUGAAGGAAGAAGGAAUUCGUUCUGUAAACUUCUGUUAUAAAGGAAGAAAGACGGAUGGAGGAAAUGACAUCCGAGUGACGGUACUUUAUGAGAAAGCCACGGCUAACUACGUGCCAGCAGCCGCGGUAAUGCGUAGGUGGCAAGCGUUAUCCGGAAUUAUUGGGCGUAAAGAGGGAGCAGGCGGCAGCAAAGGUCUGUGGUGAAAGACUGCAGCUUAACUUCAGUAAGCCAUAGAAACCGGGCAGCUAGAGUGCAGGAGAGGAUCGUGGAAUUCCAUGUGUAGCGGUGAAAUGCGUAGAUAUAUGGAGGAACACCAGUGGCGAAGGCGACGAUCUGGCCUGCAACUGACGCUCAGUCCCGAAAGCGUGGGGAGCAAAUAGGAUUAGAUACCCUAGUAGUCCACGCCGU